CCUAUACAUGACUCUGCGCAUAUCAAUAAGCGGAGGAAAAGAAACUAACAAGGAUUCCCCUAGUAACGGCGAGUGAAGCGGGAAGAGCUCAAAUUUGAAAUCUUCAAGGGUUUCCCUUGACGAAUUGUAGUUUAAAGAAGUGCUUUCUGUUAGAGAGGUGGUAAAAGUUCUUUGGAAUAGGACAUCAUAGAGGGUGAGAAUCCCGUAUUUGAUCACUUUCUACUAACGUUGUGAUACACUUUCAAAGAGUCGGAUUGUUUGGGAAUGCAGCCCAAAAUGGGUGGUAAAUUUCAUCUAAAGCUAAAUAUUGGCGAGAGACCGAUAGCGAACAAGUACCGUGAGGGAAAGAUGAAAAGAACUUUGAAAAGAGAGUUAAACAGUACGUGAAAUUGUCAAAAGGGAAGCGUUUGACACCAGUGUUGUUUUCUCGAAAAUCAAUUCAUGAUGGCUUGAUGCUAGGUUGUUAAGACUUUAUCAGCUUACUGUCUAGUUUUCUUGUCUUUGUGAAUGCACUUUUCGUUUAACAAGUCAACAUCAAUUUCUUUUGUUGUAAAAGGGUAAUGAGGAAGGUGGCUUGCGCUUUCGGAUAAAGUGUUUAUAGCCUUGUAUCUCUGCAAUCGGAGAGAUUGAGGUCUGCAGCGUAGAUCCUUCGGGGUUAGAUACAUUGGUGCUAAGUUAUAGCUUGUCAUAGACAACUUGUUGACUAUGUUUAGUCAUUGUAGCUUACUCGCUUAUGCUAUUUUACCUACGCUUAGGAUGUUGAUAUGCAUGACUGAUAU
This 779-nucleotide ribosomal RNA is filed under the name uncultured Neocallimastigales. RNAcentral's name for it is "partial large subunit ribosomal RNA". It matches the Rfam family "Eukaryotic large subunit ribosomal RNA", at positions 22 to 629 of the family's 3401-position model. The record is from RNAcentral. Lineage: Eukaryota; Fungi; Neocallimastigomycota; Neocallimastigomycetes; Neocallimastigales.